This is a long non-coding RNA of Quercus robur (English oak), 1125 nucleotides long. RefSeq lists it as uncharacterized. Lineage: Eukaryota; Viridiplantae; Streptophyta; Magnoliopsida; Fagales; Fagaceae. The transcript has 2 exons. The record is from RefSeq and is a predicted model, not a curated record.
UCUGGCCCUUUGCCCUUUCUGGGAAACAUAUUUGGCAUAAUGCCCCUGUUUCGAAACUAUAUAGGGGCGUGCCCCUGUUUGUAUACUCAAUCUCCGUAACGGCGAGUUACUUAAGUAACUCGAUUAUGAAGAAACCGAGUUGCGGGCAGGUUCUUGCCACGCUGGUGUUCCAGCUUGGCUUUUGGGCAAUAAAAUAUUCCAGCGUUACUGUUUGGAACUCGUCAAUGUGGAAAACGAGUACUUAAAACCCGAAUAACCGAUAAUCGAGUUAUUCGGUUUACUCGGUUAUUAUAUAACCGAGUUUUAUGCUAUUCUGACGCCAUUUCACAUCAGUUGUACACACGUGAAGCUGAACCCGAUUAAUAGGAAAUCGAGUUAUUAAUACUCGGUUCUUUUAUAAUCGAGUUCUUCUGCUAUAUGCAGUUCUCCUCAUCAUUUUCAGAUAUUCUCCUCAUUCUUAGAAUUUUCGGUCAGGGGCACGCGUUUUCUCUCCAUCAUCUCAGUGUCAAUGUCUGGUUCUGGCAACCCACAACUCUAUAGGCCUCACGAUGUGUUCACUGCUAUGGGUCGUUGCUGGGUAUUGGAAGAUGAGUUUAGCUAUCCAAUCAAUCCAAAUCUGCGAAAUAGUGCUUAUGUUCACAAUACCAUGAGACAGGAGUGGGAUUGGUUAUUUUGUGAACAACAAAUGUUUUAUGAUGAGUUGACUGGUUUUAAGUUGCCAGUGCCUCGGCGACUCGCAUCGCAGAUGCCUAGAGACACGAUUGACGAACUUCGUAAAGCAUUGAACCGCAUAAGAGAAGAAAAUAAUCGAAUGAAGAUACGUCUUAAUCGAUAUCGGACCCAAGUCGAGAUUCGAGAGUCAGUGGAGCGAGGGUGGUACGAGCACGCAUAAUUCAUGCAAUCAGUUCUUGCUGAUCCCAUUUAUCAGUCAGACGUGGAGAUGUCAGAUGAAGACUAAUCGUGUCGUGGUGUAAUUAGACUUUGUUAUUUAACUAUUUUUGUUAACUAUGUUUUAAAUGUAUGUGGGUCACUGUUGUUGCAUUUGUACUAUGUAAACCUUAUUAUUGAUUGUGAGGACCAUGCACAUUAUUCGUAAUCUACUUUAUUCCCACAGAACGCAUAAAA